AUUGAACGCUGGCGGCAGGCCUAACACAUGCAAGUCGAACGAGUGGCGGACGGGUGAGUAAUGUCUGGGAAACUGCCCGAUGGAGGGGGAUAACUACUGGAAACGGUAGCUAAUACCGCAUACCAUCGGAUGUGCCCAGAUGGGAUUAGCUAGUAGGUGGGGUAACGGCUCACCUAGGCGACGAUCCCUAGCUGGUCUGAGAGGAUGACCGCCCACACUGGAACGGAGACACGGUCCAGACCCCAAGUGAGGGAGGCGUUGGGAAAUAUGGCACAAGGGGCGCAGGCUGGUGGCGGCCAUGCCGCGGGUAUGAAGAAGGCUUUCGGGUUGUAAAGUCCUUUCAGCGAGGAGAGGUUACUCGCGGAAGAAGCACCGGCUAACUCCGUGCCAGCAGCGGGGGUAAUA
Molecule: ribosomal RNA, 405 nt
Filed under: uncultured bacterium
Lineage: Bacteria
Description: partial 16S ribosomal RNA
Rfam family: Bacterial small subunit ribosomal RNA
Source: RNAcentral